AGACCGUCACGGUGACUUGCAAGCACCUCACUGCACUUAGGCACUGGACUACCUGAAUUUUUAAUUCAGUGACGGAAGGCUGUUGGGUGUAGUCAAGUACUUGACUUAUCGGUGCAUGUGUCAAGAUAGGAUUGACCACUCCAGUUUAGGAGCUAUGUACAGUCGUGUUUCAAUUUAGCAAAACCUUAGUCAGGGUAGUCCUUGUGAGGAGUCAUAGAACUAUUUGAGUUGAGCACGAUUCGGAUGAUCUG
Molecule: long non-coding RNA, 251 nt
Filed under: Elaeis guineensis (African oil palm)
Lineage: Eukaryota; Viridiplantae; Streptophyta; Magnoliopsida; Arecales; Arecaceae
Description: long non-coding RNA (EGUI_LNC046593)
Source: RNAcentral